CUGGCCUUGACAUCCAGAGAACUUUCCAGAGAUGGAUUGGUGCCUUCGGGAACUCUGAGACAGGUGCUGCAUGGCCGUCGUCAGCUCGUGUCGUGAGAUGUUGGGUUAAGUCCCGUAACGAGCGCAACCCCUAUCCCUAGUUGCUAGCAGUUCGGCUGAGAACUCUAGGGAGACUGCCGGUGACAAACCGGAGGAAGGUGGGGAUGACGUCAGGUCAUCAAGGCCCUUACGGCCAGGGCUACACACGUGCUACAAUGGCGCGCACAGAGGGCUGCAAACCCGCGAGGGGGAGCUAAUCUCACAAAACGCGUCGUAGUCCGGAUCGCAGUCUGCAACUCGACUGCGUGAAGUCGGAAUCGCUAGUAAUCGCGAAUCAGAAUGUCGCGGUGAAUACGUUCCC
RNAcentral lists this ribosomal RNA (400 nucleotides) under uncultured bacterium. RNAcentral's name for it is "bacterial SSU rRNA". It matches the Rfam family "Bacterial small subunit ribosomal RNA", at positions 975 to 1375 of the family's 1533-position model. The record is from RNAcentral.